GAUGAAGAACGUAGCGAAAUGCGAUAAGUAAUGUGAAUUGCAGAAUUCAGUGAAUCAUCGAAUCUUUGAACGCACCUUGCGCCCUUUGGACAUUCCGAAGGGCAUGCCUGUUUGAGUAUCAUGAACACCUCAACUCUCACGGCUUGUCCGUGAUGAGCUUGGACUUUGGGGGUCUUGCCGGCCUGUGGUCGGCUCCUCUCAAAUGGAUCAGCUUGCCAGUGUUUGGUGGCAUCACAGGUGUGAUAACUAUCUGCGCUUGUGGUUUUACAUCAGAUAACCUUCAGUGAUAUGGAGGUUCGCUGGAGCUCACAAAUGUCUCUCCUUAGUGAGGACAGCUCUUUGAACGUUUGAUCUCAAAUCAGGUAGGACUACCCGCUGAACUUAAGCAUAUAAUAAGCGGAGGA
RNAcentral lists this unclassified non-coding RNA (404 nucleotides) under soil metagenome. RNAcentral's name for it is "partial contains 5.8S ribosomal RNA, internal transcribed spacer 2, and large subunit ribosomal RNA". The stretch from base 1 to 121 matches the Rfam family "5.8S ribosomal RNA", at positions 35 to 154 of the family's 154-position model. The record is from RNAcentral.